GUAUACAAAAAUUAUGAAAAUCAUAUCAACGGAUAUAAAAUAUAAACAGCAAGAUUUCCAUCUCGAAGAGGUUUACCGUGUACGCGAUUAUGACACGAUUAACGUACAGUCGAUUUACACGAAACUCUCCGCGGACUAGUCCCAUCAGGCCACCCACGUCAGAGUCAUUCCGCGCGAUCUGGAAAAGCGCUAAAAUAUCCUGAUGUACUCGCGUGGAAGAGAAAGAGAGGGAGUUAUGAGCGCUGAAUACUCGCUCACUCGUACCGUUCGAUGCGCAGUUUUGAUAUACGCAUAAGCGAGUGUGUAUGUGUAUAUGUGUGUACAUGUAUUGUACGCACGUGUGCAUAGUCGUUAUAUUUUCAUGUCGGAGCGCAGCCUAUGCCAUAGCCGCGGCUGCUCUCCUCGCGCUUCUCUUCGCGCCGCUCUUCUUCCCUCGCUGCGGUGGGUGGAGGAAGAAAAGGAGAGGACGGGACGGGGAAGAGAGAAGAGAGCGAGUAUAGGGCCCCCUGCUAGGCGGUGGCCGAUGAGAAGGAAGGAAGAAGGAAGGUGGGGAUCGGGACGAGGGAAGAAGAAGAAGAAGAAGAAGAAGAAGAAGAAGAAGAAGAAGAAGAAGAAGAAGUAGGAGAAGGCGGGCGCGGUCGCAAACAGUGGUAAUAGGAAAAAAAGGAGGCAAAGUAUCUAAAAUUGGCGGGACUGACUUGGCCAAUAUGCGGCGAUGGCGGGCAUCUACUAAACGAAUAUCGGUUGAAGGAGGCUUGGACUUAGAAUAGGAUGCGUCUAGGAACAAAGAAAAGAAAAGAAGCAGAAAAAGGCGGGCUGACUUUGAGCGGAUUCAUGAAUCCGUGAAUCUGAAAAGUGCAUUAAGACGAUAUAUAAAGAGAAUAAAAUACCUUCAUUAUGGAUUACAAUACGAUGAUGGUCCUGAAAAUUCUGCGAUAGUCGCAUCGUGUUAUCAUGCAAAUGUAUGCGUGCAAAAUAUGCGUCGUAGUGAUGGUAAUGAUAUCGAUAUUGCGCUCGAAGAUACGAUCUUGGCAGUGCGUUAAGCGGGUAACAUAUUUCUCGAUCGUAAUAUAUAGCGACGAAAACAGCUUUUUAAUAAAAAUGAAAGGCAACUUUGUACUCGAUUGCGAAUCGCGAGUAUCAAGGUGUUCGAGAACGAGAGUUACUUAACGUGAACUUUACAUUCAGCGCUGACAACUUUUGUGAAAAACGAAAGAGAGUAAGAUACGCACUAUACACCUUUACUUUUUGACAAAAUAAUUUUUGAUACAUAAACGCACAUAAAAUAACACUUUAACAGCGAAAGAUGAUGAAUAUAGAAAAUUAAAUAAAUAAAGAGUUGAAGUGUAUCGAAA
Molecule: long non-coding RNA, 1355 nt
Organism: Cataglyphis hispanica
Lineage: Eukaryota; Metazoa; Arthropoda; Insecta; Hymenoptera; Formicidae
Exons: 2
Source: RefSeq, a predicted model, not a curated record